CUCUAAGCCUAAGAGGUUUGAUAAGGCUUCGCAUCCUCUAGAGUGAAGUGGUCAAUUUGCACAAGGCGGUUGGCGAUAUUGUGCAUGAGCAUGAAUCGCGCCUCCACACCUUAGAAAAGAGUCAUAGUUUCAAGUGUGUUUGCUUUAUUUCAAGCAAGAGUUGAUGAGCCUCUUCUAAUUGAUCUUCCUUCGUCGGAGUUGGAAUGGGAGGAGCUUCCCUCUUAGGCAUUUGAGCCUCGGCCUUACAGUCACUAUUGGAUAGAGCUCUUUUAGCUCGUUUUGCCUCCAACACUUCUCUUAGGCCUUUCGCCCUUUGGUGCUUU
This 323-nucleotide long non-coding RNA is filed under the name Jatropha curcas. RNAcentral describes it as "long non-coding RNA (JCUR_LNC000256)". Lineage: Eukaryota; Viridiplantae; Streptophyta; Magnoliopsida; Malpighiales; Euphorbiaceae. The record is from RNAcentral.